CAACUUUCAACAAUGGAUCUCUUGGCUCUGGCAUCGAUGAAGAACGCAGCGAAAUGCGAUAAGUAGUGUGAAUUGCAGAAUUCAGUGAAUCAUCGAAUCUUUGAACGCACAUUGCGCCCCUUGGUAUUCCAUGGGGCAUGCCUGUUCGAGCGUCAUC
Molecule: ribosomal RNA, 157 nt
Filed under: Bipolaris sorokiniana
Lineage: Eukaryota; Fungi; Ascomycota; Dothideomycetes; Pleosporales; Pleosporaceae
Also listed under: 7 other names
Description: 5.8S ribosomal RNA
Rfam family: 5.8S ribosomal RNA
About the family: 5.8S ribosomal RNA (5.8S rRNA) is a component of the large subunit of the eukaryotic ribosome. It is transcribed by RNA polymerase I as part of the 45S precursor that also contains 18S and 28S rRNA.
Source: RNAcentral